GGUGGGGUGGCCGAGUGGUUUAAGGCGGCAGUCUUGAAAACUGCUGUACCUGAAAGGGUACCGUGAGUUCGAAUCUCACCCCCACCG
Molecule: transfer RNA, 87 nt
Filed under: bacterium
Lineage: Bacteria
Description: tRNA-Ser
Rfam family: tRNA
About the family: Transfer RNA (tRNA) molecules are approximately 80 nucleotides in length. Their secondary structure includes four short double-helical elements and three loops (D, anti-codon, and T loops).
Source: RNAcentral